RNAcentral lists this ribosomal RNA (416 nucleotides) under uncultured bacterium. RNAcentral's name for it is "bacterial SSU rRNA". It matches the Rfam family "Bacterial small subunit ribosomal RNA", at positions 29 to 430 of the family's 1533-position model. The record is from RNAcentral.
AACGAACGCUGGCGGCGUGCCUAACACAUGCAAGUCGUGCGAGAAAGUUCCUUCGGGAGCGAGUAAAGCGGCGCACGGGUGAGUAACACGUAGGUAACCUGCCCCCCAAUCUGGAACAACUAGAGGAAACUCUAGCUAAUGCCGGAUGAGACCACGAUCCCUUCGGGGGUUGCGGCCAAAGAUGGCCUCUACUUGUAAGCUAUCGCUGAGGGAUGGGCCUGCGGGCCAUUAGCUUGUUGGUGAGGUAACGGCUCACCAAGGCUGUGAUGGCUAGCUGGUCUGAGAGGAUGACCAGCCACACUGGGACUGAGACACGGCCCAGACUCCUACGGGAGGCAGCAGUGGGGAAUAUUGCGCAAUGGGCGAAAGCCUGACGCAGCGACGCCGCGUGGGUGAUGAAGGCCUCGGUCGUAAGA